RNAcentral lists this ribosomal RNA (482 nucleotides) under uncultured bacterium. Its description in RNAcentral is "partial 16S ribosomal RNA". It matches the Rfam family "Bacterial small subunit ribosomal RNA", at positions 30 to 507 of the family's 1533-position model. The record is from RNAcentral.
AUUGAACGCUGGCGGCAUGCCUUACACAUGCAAGUCGAACGGUAACAGGUCUUCGGAUGCUGACGAGUGGCGAACGGGUGAGUAAUACAUCGGAACGUGCCCGAUCGUGGGGGAUAACGGAGCUAAAGCUUUGCUAAUACCGCAUACGAUCUACGGAUGAAAGCAGGGGACCGCAAGGCCUUGCGCGGACGGAGCGGCCGAUGGCAGAUUAGGUAGUUGGUGGGAUAAAAGCUUACCAAGCCGACGAUCUGUAGCUGGUCUGAGAGGACGACCAGCCACACUGGGACUGGGACACGGCCCAGACUCCUACGGGAGGCAGCAGUGGGGAAUUUUGGACAAAGGGCGAAAGCCUGAUCCAGCCAUGCCGCGUGCAGGAUGAAGGCCUUCGGGUUGUAAACUGCUUUUGUACGGAACGAAAAGACUCUUUCUAAUAAAGAGGGUCCAUGACGGUACCGUAAGAAUAAGCACCGGCUAACUACGUG